CGUCUGUAGCAUCAGCGCCCAAGGCACCCGACAAUAGUGGACUCGUCAGUAACCUCAGAAACAUCCGAGCCUCUCUUAGACUGCUAAGAUCGAGAACCAGUCUGCUCCAUUAGACGUCCCAGUCGAGCUUCAGCCAUCCAGCCCGAACUCUUUGGCAAGUCGCGAUAAUGGCCACUACCCCACUCUACUCUCUGUAACAGAUUCCACGUGGCCCCACCACUCUCUGACAAGUCACGACAACGGCCCCC
This 248-nucleotide long non-coding RNA is filed under the name Elaeis guineensis (African oil palm). RNAcentral describes it as "long non-coding RNA (EGUI_LNC060403)". The record is from RNAcentral. Lineage: Eukaryota; Viridiplantae; Streptophyta; Magnoliopsida; Arecales; Arecaceae.